This 400-nucleotide ribosomal RNA is filed under the name uncultured bacterium. Its description in RNAcentral is "bacterial SSU rRNA". It matches the Rfam family "Bacterial small subunit ribosomal RNA", at positions 338 to 755 of the family's 1533-position model. The record is from RNAcentral.
CCUACGGGUGGCAGCAGUGGGGAAUAUUGCACAAUGGGGGAAACCCUGAUGCAGCGACGCCGCGUGGAGGAAGAAGGUCUUCGGAUUGUAAACUCCUGUCCCAGGGGACGAUAAUGACGGUACCCUGGGAGGAAGCACCGGCUAACUACGUGCCAGCAGCCGCGGUAAAACGUAGGGUGCAAGCGUUGUCCGGAAUUACUGGGUGUAAAGGGAGCGCAGGCGGAUUGGCAAGUUGGGAGUGAAAUCUAUGGGCUCAACCCAUAAAUUGCUUUCAAAACUGUCAGUCUUGAGUGGUGUAGAGGUAGGCGGAAUUCCCGGUGUAGCGGUGGAAUGCGUAGAUAUCGGGAGGAACACCAGUGGCGAAGGCGGCCUACUGGGCACUAACUGACGCUGAGGCUCG